UCAGGACGUGGAACCUCAUUCUCAGAACUCUCCCUUCCUACGAGCCGACUUCCCCUGCUCUGGCCGCAAGACCAACGAAUGUUUGCAUCCGCAAAGAAUUUAUAAGCUGAGUCAGACUCCCUCUGAAGCCUCACUUCCUCAAAUGAGCCUAGACACAUCUUCACAUCAAGUUCCUAUGUCAGAACUCUGGGAGGAAUGGAAGUCUGAUCUAAAGAUCAAACGAUCCAAAGGUCUGAGCCAUAUGUUCUGGCUCAGCUUCACCAGGUAACCAUGAUCCCACUUGUUGUUUCUCACCAGUGCUUCCCAACCCACCUUUUUCAAACUCUUCUGGGAAGCCAACCCUAAACACACACACACAGUUGAAUCCCCCUCCACACUAUCAAUGAGACCCUGAACAAGAGGCAAGUUACUUAAGCUUUUGAUGGUAUCAUUUCCUCAUUUACAAUAUUGAGAUACUUUAAUGUAUAUCUCACAGUAUUGCCAUGAAGAUUAAAUCAGUUCUUAUAUGCAAGGUGCUUAGAACAGUCCAAGAUACAUAGAAAGCACUCAAUAAACCUUUUUUAAUAUGUCAGUGAUGCUUCCUUUCUGCUGCCUUAAUUCCUUCUCUGUCAUUCCACUGAUACAUUUUCUGUGUCAUUACUUAGUCAUUAUCUGCUUAGACAUCUCCUUCAUGAGACUAUAGUUUCUUUGAGGACAGGAACUGUGUCAUGUCUGUCCUUUUAUCCCCAGUGUGGAGCACAGUGCCUGACACACAGGCACAUAAUGAAUGUUGUGUGAAUAAAUAAGUCACAAAGUAAGAAAUUUAAGAUCUGUACAGACUGAGUAUCAAAUUCAUUGCUAUGGGGAAAGAAGAGAGCGAGAGGAAAUAUAGCUGAUUGUUAAGAAUGCUUAUCCCUGGAGAUUUGAAUUGAUAGAACAUGUAUUUUCUUCUAUCUACAUUUCUGUUUUUCCAAUAAUGAGGGUGUGGGUAGGGACAGAGUGGGUUCACAGCAGUGUAUACAAGGGACUGAGCCCUGCUCUCACCAGAGAGGUUCAGGGAUUAUAUUAGUGAAGAUGCACUAACAGAUGAACUUGGAAAUUCCGGCAGCUUAACAGAAUAGAAAUUUAUUUCUUGUUCACA
RNAcentral lists this long non-coding RNA (1120 nucleotides) under Sus scrofa (pig). RNAcentral's name for it is "lncRNA (ENSSSCG00005031484.1)". The record is from RNAcentral. Lineage: Eukaryota; Metazoa; Chordata; Mammalia; Artiodactyla; Suidae.